This is a small nucleolar RNA of Cuculus canorus (common cuckoo), 70 nucleotides long. It matches the Rfam family "Small nucleolar RNA SNORD24". Rfam says of the family: U24 is a member of the C/D class of snoRNA which contain the C (UGAUGA) and D (CUGA) box motifs. The record is from Rfam. NCBI's taxonomy places the organism in Eukaryota, Metazoa, Chordata, Aves, Cuculiformes, Cuculidae.
UGCAGAUGAUGUGAAACGUUUGCUAUCUGAGCUACAGUGCUGACAUGUCACCACCAAGAUCACUGAUGCA